UACGUAGGUGACAAGCGUUGUCCGGAAUUAUUGGGCGUAAAGCGCGCGCAGGCGGUCCCUUAAGUCUGAUGUGAAAGCCCACGGCUCAACCGUGGAGGGUCAUUGGAAACUGGGGGACUUGAGUGCAGAAGAGGAAAGUGGAAUUCCAUGUGUAGCGGUGAAAUGCGUAGAGAUGUGGAGGAACACCAGUGGCGAAGGCGACUUUCUGGUCUGUAACUGACGCUGAGGCGCGAAAGCGUGGGGAGCAAACAGG
RNAcentral lists this ribosomal RNA (253 nucleotides) under uncultured bacterium. RNAcentral's name for it is "partial 16S ribosomal RNA". It matches the Rfam family "Bacterial small subunit ribosomal RNA", at positions 524 to 776 of the family's 1533-position model. The record is from RNAcentral.